Acanthochromis polyacanthus (spiny chromis) is the source of this 585-nucleotide long non-coding RNA. RefSeq lists it as uncharacterized. The record is from RefSeq and is a predicted model, not a curated record. The transcript has 3 exons. NCBI's taxonomy places the organism in Eukaryota, Metazoa, Chordata, Actinopteri, Pomacentridae.
GCUGCAGAACCUUCUAUGACUGGGUCUAUCUUUGUCUGCAUCAUGGCUCUGCAUGGAAAAGAACUGAACAGAGGAAGAGAAAUAUCUGAGGAGUCAUUGUACCACUAAUCAGGAGGUCUAGAAGGAGUCAUAGUUCCACUAAUCAGGAGGUCUAGAAGGAGUCACAGUUCCGCUAAUCAGGAGGUCUAGAAGGAGUCAUAGUUCCACUAAUCAGGAGGUCUAGAAGGAGUCAUAGUUCCACUAAUCAGGAAAUCUAGAAGGAGUCAUAGUACCACUAAUCAGGAGGUGUAAGGAGUCAUAGUACCUCUAAUCAGGAGGUCUAGAAGGAGUCAUAGUUCCACUAAUCAGGAGGUCUAGAAGGAGUCAUAGUUCCACUAAUCAGGAGGUCUAGAAGGAGUCAUAGUUCCACUAAUCAGGAGGUGUAGAAGGAGUCAUAGUUCCACUAAUCAGGAGGUCUAGAAGGAGUCAUAGUUCCACUAAUCAGGAGGUCUAGAAGGAGUCAUAGUUCCACUAAUCAGGAGGUCUAGAAGGAGUCAUAGUUCCACUAAUCAGGAGGUCUAGAAGGAGUCAUAGUUCCACUAAUCA